GAUGAACGCUAGCGGCAGGCUUAAUACAUGCAAGUCGAGGGGUAACAGUGGCUUCGGCCAGCUGACGACCGGCGCACGGGUGAGUAACGCGUACACAACCUACCUUUUACAGGGGGAUAGCCUUGGGAAACUGAGAUUAAUACCCCAUAGAAUUAUAAAGUAGCAUUGCUUAAUAAUUAAAGAUGAGUCGGUAAGAGAUGGGUGUGCGUGUCAUUAGGUAGUUGGAGAGGUAACGGCUCCCCAAGCCUACGAUGACUAGGGGGCGUGAGAGCGUAGCCCCCCACACGGGUACUGAGACACGGACCCGACUCCUACGGGAGGCAGCAGUAAGGAAUAUUGGACAAUGGAGGGAACUCUGAUCCAGCCAUGCCGCGUGCAGGAUGACUGCCCUUAGGGUUGUAAACUGCUUUUAUCAGGGAAGAAAAGCUGUGAUUUAUCAUGGACUGACGGUACCUGAGGAAUAAGCACCGGCUAACUCCG
RNAcentral lists this ribosomal RNA (480 nucleotides) under uncultured Saprospiraceae bacterium. RNAcentral's name for it is "bacterial SSU rRNA". It matches the Rfam family "Bacterial small subunit ribosomal RNA", at positions 28 to 505 of the family's 1533-position model. The record is from RNAcentral. Lineage: Bacteria; Pseudomonadati; Bacteroidota; Saprospiria; Saprospirales; Saprospiraceae.